GAUGGCGAGUGCGGGCACGACCCCUGGAUCCCGGGACGGGAGUCCUGGACAGCAGAGCCAGCCGGGCAGGCUCGGCCGAGGCCCCGCCCCCUUGGUCCCCUCUCGGGGGUGGGCGGGCGCCGGGUGGGGGCGCCCGGCCUCAGCAGGUCUGUCCCCGCUGGAGCUAGGAGGGUGCCUGCGGCGCGCUGAGCGGACACGCUGCCGAGGUUCGGGCCGCCGGCCCCGUGGGUCGUGGGGAUGGAGGACCCGUGUUCGGCAGGCACUUAGAUGGGCGUGAGGGCGCGGGAGCGGAGGACCCGCAGCUCUGACCUGUUCGAGCGGGCCCAGCGACGCCUGGGCUUUAUGAAGUCAGACCCUGACGUCCCAACACUGGCCCUGUGGGUUUUCUUGGAAUCAUCUCUCGACCUGGGAAUCUGACCUUCUAUGGAAGUUUCCUGGUGGCAGAACCGAAAGGUUUAAGAUUGAUGAAAAGAGGGGACUGCCGGAGGAACACCUGGCAGCUCCAGAGACAGCGCUCUCCCUGCGCUUGAAGUUGAGACCGAGGCUCCAGCAGCAGCCAGCACCCACAGUUGCUGUUGCUGCCAUCUUACCUGACUUGAAUUGUAGGAGUCGCUUCCUUUAGAAGGCUUUGGUUUCAAAUGAUGCAAUAGUGGAUGAGCUGGAGGAGGCGGUUGAUUUCCGUCUAUCUCUUUAAUGCCAGGAAUCCCCUGACACGGAAUACAAUAAAUGUGGGCCGUAAAAUAAACAAAAACAAAACAAGAACUGAACUGCCCCUCCUUCCAUGACUGAGAGACAUAGGGCAAACCGGCUGUCCAGACCCUUGGUUACAGCCUUUCCCUUGCGUUGAGGGUCCCAAGACUGUAGGGUGAAAUAUUUGAAUCUUGGUGUGUUUGUGGGGAAAGAUUUGCUGUACUUAGGGCUAUAUAAUUCUCUAGAUUAGGGCAUUGUUGAGGCAGUGCUAUUAUUAAUUAGCACUGGGAUAAUAGGUGUAAACUGGUACUGUUUCCAACAUACUUUUUGACAAAUGGUCACCCCAGCUAUGCUCACUGCUUACAAGGUGAACGCUAGAGGUGCAUUAGCUGAUGAGAGGAGUUAGGUUUCUGUGGGUGAAACUGUGUGUGGGAAGUUAUGUUUCAGAGUAGCAGAGAGCCUGGCACCUAGUACUUGGUAAAUAAAUAUUUGUUGAAUGAAUGAAAGACUGCAGAAAAGAUGUUGCUUAAAAGCUCUCAGUUUUU
Callithrix jacchus (white-tufted-ear marmoset) is the source of this 1235-nucleotide non-coding RNA. The record is from RefSeq and is a predicted model, not a curated record. Lineage: Eukaryota; Metazoa; Chordata; Mammalia; Primates; Cebidae.